RNAcentral lists this long non-coding RNA (967 nucleotides) under Homo sapiens (human). RNAcentral's name for it is "HSALNT0347350". The record is from RNAcentral. Lineage: Eukaryota; Metazoa; Chordata; Mammalia; Primates; Hominidae.
ACUGGUGUUGGUCGAACAAGCGCGAAACUCACAGAAGUUUCCCCGAAAACGAACAGCUUUAAAUGCCAGGAGGGAAAAUGUCGGGGGAAAAAGUGGAGGUCGGUGUUUCCCUAAAUGCAAAACAUCAGAGAGGAAUCUGAAAAGAGCUUUACUUUCCCUGCGAAAUCUCCAUUGUUGCUCAGCAAACAAUGGGAGCCUGGGCGACUGGAGGGCUGUGCGAAUGAAUAGGCGAUCCGCGGGAUGUGUGCGGGUCAGUGCCUGGGGUCCCGGGCCUAAAGCCCCUUUCUCAGCUUGCCACAAUAAACCAGCGCAAGGUUUAGUCCUUACUGGGUCACCGGCCAUCCUCUAUUAUUCAACACUUCACAACAAAAAACACUUAUUAAUCAGCGCUGACCAGAGGCCCCUUUUGAAACAAGAGAAGAGGGGAGAGAGAGAGGGAGUGAGAGAGAGAGGGGUGAAAAGAAGAUUGAGAAGCCCUGGACAGAUCUUUCUAAAGCCAGAGCAACCAUGGGGUACUUUCCUCCAGUGGCCAAAGUUUAUUUGACACAACAAAGUUUCUAAUCAGGCCACGGAGACCUGGAUUUCUCCUCAUUUGCCUCACUCCCGGUCUCUUCCUCUGAAGAUGCUGGAGACUUUGUUGCAAGAAAGGAUGGCUUUAGGUCAUGUUGCUGAGGCCUGAUCUUAAAGAUCUAAUUGCUAUUGGAAGAGAAUCCUGUUUCCCAACUGGGCCUCCCCUCUGGAGAUGGAGCAAGGAAGACUGUCCAACUCUGCUCUGGGCACCCUGCUGAUGGAUGAGGUGUCAGGCCAGUCGUCAUGUGAGGACUGGUUUCCAAAUGCAGAUACAAAAAGAAAAAUUACUGUCAUGUGAUGUGUGAUCCAUGAUACCGUCAUAGUUUUGUUCCAAGACCAUCCUCAAGGAGUUUAAUGAAUGUGGCAUCACAAGAAAAAUAUGCAUCAACAUUGAAAA